RNAcentral lists this non-coding RNA (186 nucleotides) under Robertmurraya siralis. RNAcentral's name for it is "Bacillus siralis 6S / SsrS RNA". It matches the Rfam family "6S / SsrS RNA". From Rfam's summary of the family: E. coli 6S RNA was the first non coding RNA to be sequenced, but its function was unknown until recently. It consists of 184 nucleotides that fold into an extended hairpin structure with a large single-stranded internal bulge. The record is from Rfam by way of RNAcentral. Lineage: Bacteria; Bacillati; Bacillota; Bacilli; Caryophanales; Bacillaceae. RNAcentral also lists the same sequence under 3 other names.
AGAGUCCUGAUGUGUUUGUGGUAAACCCUAUGUUUUGACCUAACAUACUACCUUCGGGAGUUUGCGUUUCCUCGUGAAGUAAAUGCCUAUUUAGUAGGACUUACAACCACUCGGAACAGAACACCCACCUGCUGAGUGCGGGUUCAAAACGAAGGAUAAACGAGCGACGGCACAAUUGGGACUCUU